UUGUAGAUUGGGAUAACUCCGGGAAACCGGGGCUAAUACCAAAUAAUCCAUUUUGCUUCCAUGGGCGAAAUGUUGAAAGGCGGCUUCGGCUGUCACUACGAGAUGGGCCCGCGGCGUAUUAGCUAGUUGGUAGGGUAAUGGCCUACCAAGGCGACGAUACGUAGCCGACCUGAGAGGGUGAUCGGCCACACUGGGACUGAGACACGGCCCAGACUCCUACGGGAGGCAGCAGUAGGGAAUCUUCCACAAUGGACGAAAGUCUGAUGGAGCAACGCCGCGUGAGUGAAGAAGGUUUUCGGAUCGUAAAACUCUGUUGUAAGGGAAGAACACGUACGAGAGUAACUGCUCG
This 349-nucleotide ribosomal RNA is filed under the name Sporosarcina sp. K1-141. RNAcentral's name for it is "bacterial SSU rRNA". It matches the Rfam family "Bacterial small subunit ribosomal RNA", at positions 131 to 470 of the family's 1533-position model. Lineage: Bacteria; Bacillati; Bacillota; Bacilli; Caryophanales; Caryophanaceae. The record is from RNAcentral.